CAGUUCUCAUGCCGGAUAAUGAUACAAAUGCAGAGGCAAAGAUGCAUUCUGCUGCUAUGUUUUGGCAACAAUCCUCUGAUCAUAGAAUAAUAGCAAGCAAUCCCAGACUCAAAGCAGGGAUGGAGAUGGGUUUCCAUGGCUGAAGGAAGAAACAGCUCGUUGGUCUCCUGCAAAAAGUUGGAACAUGUUUAAAGAAUUACUCUACAUCAGUGAAUCCGCAACCCUUUUCUGUAUGCAAUAAGGUCAUGCAGCUGCAGGGAAAGGAGUUUGCUUGCUCGUUCCUCUCCACCACUCUCCAUCUGCCAGCAUCUCCAGGAGAGAAGAGGAAGAACAUCUUAAGAAGGCAACCCCCACUCUGCAUGCUCUCACUCCUCGACAUCCUUCUCCUUGCCUUGUUAUUCUUCUUACCGCUCAUCUCCCCUCCACCGCCGGUCUUUCUCUAUCUCUGGCCUCGCUGACUCCACCAUGUCCCAGGGCGUGAGUUCGUAAGCAGACUCCACCAUGCCAUGCGCCAUACCCAGCUCUGGGUGCCAUGAUCUGUGCUUCGCAUCAUCAAAACUGAACUGGCCAGUGAUCAUGACUGUGGGAGACAGGAAAGGAACGAGAAGAGGUGGAGAAGCAAAUGCUUGUGUAAAAUCUGCUACAGUGUGUGAUUCACAUGCUGCCUGGAUUACUGUCAGGUGGGGUUGAUGGUUGGCUGGAAAGUCAAGGCUGCUAAGUAAAUUCAAAUACGGGUGGAAUUAUUGCAGAAUCUUCUGUCUCCAACGAAGACCAACAAGUCUUCUAUCUUCGUCAAAGACCUCUCAUCUUUUUCUUGGCUAUGGUUGGCAUCACAGCGACCGGUUUGCUUGGAUCUCUGGCAAUGUCGGUCUUCUAUCUUCUCAGAUCGGGUCUUGUAUAGGGUGGCAUUUCAAAUCUACAGUGUAUCAGAAAGGUGAGCUCGUCGAUCCAUUCGAGAGCCAACAUAUAUACUGUUCUUCUUAGCGUGCAGGCUCUCGAAAAUGACAAAAGGGACACGACCUCAGCUUGUUGUC
Molecule: long non-coding RNA, 1034 nt
Organism: Musa acuminata AAA Group (dessert banana)
Lineage: Eukaryota; Viridiplantae; Streptophyta; Magnoliopsida; Zingiberales; Musaceae
Exons: 2
Source: RefSeq, a predicted model, not a curated record